RNAcentral lists this ribosomal RNA (449 nucleotides) under uncultured bacterium. RNAcentral's name for it is "partial 16S ribosomal RNA". It matches the Rfam family "Bacterial small subunit ribosomal RNA", at positions 29 to 523 of the family's 1533-position model. The record is from RNAcentral.
AAUGAACGCUGGCGGCAGGCCUAACACAUGCAAGUCGAACGGGUCCUUCGGGACUAGUGGCGGACGGGUGAGUAACGCGUGGGAACGUGCCCUUUGCUACGGAAUAGCCCCGGGAAACUGGGAGUAAUACCGUAUAAGCCCUACGGGGGAAAGAUUUAUCGGCAAAGGAUCGGCCCGCGUUGGAUUAGGUAGUUGGUGGGGUAAUGGCCUACCAAGCCGACGAUCCAUAGCUGGUUUGAGCGGAUGAUCAGCCACACUGGGAGUAGGACGCGACCCAGACUCCUACGGGAGGCAGCAGUGGGGAAUCGUAGACAAUGGGGGAAACCCUGAUCUAGCCAUGCCGCGUGAUCGAUGAAGGCCUUAGGGUUGUAAAGAUCUUUCAGGUGGGAAGAUAAUGACUGUACCACCAGAAGAAGCCCCGGCUAACUCCGUGCCAGCAGCCGCCGUAA